UACGAAGGGGGCUAGCGUUGUUCGGAAUCACUGGGCGUAAAGCGCACGUAGGCUGAUUGGUCAGUUGGGGGUGAAAUCCCGGGGCUCAACCUCGGAACUGCCUUCAAUACUGCCAGUCUUGAGUCCGAGAGAGGUGAGUGGAAUUCCUAGUGUAGAGGUGAAAUUCGUAGAUAUUAGGAAGAACACCAGUGGCGAAGGCGGCUCACUGGCUCGGUACUGACGCUGAGGCGCGAAAGCGUGGGGAGCAAACAGG
Molecule: ribosomal RNA, 253 nt
Filed under: uncultured bacterium
Lineage: Bacteria
Description: partial 16S ribosomal RNA
Rfam family: Bacterial small subunit ribosomal RNA
Source: RNAcentral